Long non-coding RNA from Cyprinodon variegatus (sheepshead minnow), 619 nucleotides. RefSeq lists it as uncharacterized. The record is from RefSeq and is a predicted model, not a curated record. NCBI's taxonomy places the organism in Eukaryota, Metazoa, Chordata, Actinopteri, Cyprinodontiformes, Cyprinodontidae. The transcript is spliced from 3 exons.
AGCAAACUGAUCACGGAGCAUCAGAACCUCUGUUACAACAGCGAAGGCAACUUAUUACACAAAACCUACAGAAAACAAAAUAAAGAAGAAUAAUGAAGAUUUUUUGGAUACUGCUACUUGUUGCUGGCAUCCAGAUGAUGACCACAGCUGCCCAAACAACCACAACGGGUCCAGUAACAAACACAGCUGCUCCGACAACAACCACAGCUGCUCCAACAACCCCCACAGCUGCUCCAACAACCACAGUUGCUCCAUCAACCACAGCUUCUGUCUCAACCACAGCAGCUGCAAUGACAACUACAGCUGCUCCAACUACAACCACAGCUGCUCCAACAACUACAGCUGCUCCAACAACCACAGCUGCUCCAACAACCCCCACGACUGCUCCAACAACAACAGCUGCUGCAACAACAACCACUGCGGCUGCUCCAACAACCACAGCUGCUGCAACAACCACAGCUAAUCCAACAACCACAGCUGCCCCAACAACCACAGCUGCUCCACCAACCACUGCUGCUGCAACAACGACUACAGCUGCUACAACAACCACAGCUGCUGCAACAACGACAACAGCUGCUCCAACAACCACAGCUGCUGCAACAACAACCACCGCUGCUGC